This 56-nucleotide non-coding RNA is filed under the name Pongo pygmaeus (Bornean orangutan). The record is from RNAcentral. Lineage: Eukaryota; Metazoa; Chordata; Mammalia; Primates; Hominidae.
AUGCAGGUACUGUUACAAUACAACUGACGUGUUUUAUUGUCGUUCCCCCUGCUUAA